This is a non-coding RNA of Acanthosepion pharaonis, 112 nucleotides long. The record is from the annotation of a GenBank genome assembly. NCBI's taxonomy places the organism in Eukaryota, Metazoa, Mollusca, Cephalopoda, Sepiida, Sepiidae.
UACAGCCAUAUCACAUUGAAACACUGAUUCUCUUAUGAUCAUCAAAGUUAAGAAACUUCGAGCCUAGUCAGUACCUAGAUGGUUGACCAUUUAGGAAUACCAGGUGCUGAAA